Non-coding RNA from Acanthosepion pharaonis, 98 nucleotides. NCBI's taxonomy places the organism in Eukaryota, Metazoa, Mollusca, Cephalopoda, Sepiida, Sepiidae. The record is from the annotation of a GenBank genome assembly.
GUUGAAAAACCUGUUCACGUACGAUCACUGAAGUUAAGCAAUGUCGAGCCUGGACAGUACAUCGAUGGGUGAUCGCUUGAAAAUACAAGGUGCUGUAA